This 460-nucleotide ribosomal RNA is filed under the name uncultured bacterium. RNAcentral's name for it is "partial 16S ribosomal RNA". It matches the Rfam family "Bacterial small subunit ribosomal RNA", at positions 338 to 795 of the family's 1533-position model. The record is from RNAcentral.
CCUACGGGAGGCAGCAGUGAGGAAUAUUGGUCAAUGGACGCUAGUCUGAACCAGCCAAGUAGCGUGAAGGAUGACUGCCCUAUGGGUUGUAAACUUCUUUUAUAUGGGAAUAAAGUGCAGUAUGUAUGCUACUUUGCAUGUACCUUAUGAAUAAGGAUCGGCUAACUCCGUGCCAGCAGCCGCGGUAAUACUGAGGAUCCGAGCGUUAUCCGGAUUUAUUGGGUUUAAAGGGAGCGUAGGCGGUUUGUUAAGUCAGUUGUGAAAGUUUGCGGCUCAACCGUAAAAUUGCAGUUGAUACUGGCAGUCUUGAGUACAGUAGAGGUAGGCGGAAUUCGUGGUGUAGCGGUGAAAUGCUUAGAUAUCACGAAGAACUCCGAUUGCGAAGGCAGCUCGCUGGACUGUAACUGACGCUGAUGCUCGAAAGUGUGGGUAUCAAACAGGAUUAGAUACCCGUGUAGUC